CUUGAAUUAGCUAUCAAAAACAUUUCUCGGUGUCCACGUCUAGUUGCUGCAGGUGAGGUCGCCCAAGCCUGACAGGUGGGAGCUGCUCGCACCCGGCAGUGGCGGGGGUGUGGCGGAGCAGGCCAGUGGAGACUGCGACGAUGAAGACGAAGACGGCUGUGAGGGAUCGGGCCGUGGAGAGGCCGGGCGGGCUGCGGAAACCCCACGCUGUUGAAAUUGGUUGUCGUUAUGAAAAUCAGCUUGUUCAGCUAUCAAGUAUUUCUGGAUUUCAUUUCCCUGGUUGUAAAAGAGAGUUGCUGCAGGUGAGGUCGCCCAAGCCUGACAGGUGGGAGCUGCUCGCACCCGGCAGUGGCGGGGGUGUGGCGGAGCAGGCCAGUGGAGACUGCGGCGAUGA
Molecule: long non-coding RNA, 394 nt
Filed under: Heterocephalus glaber (naked mole-rat)
Lineage: Eukaryota; Metazoa; Chordata; Mammalia; Rodentia; Bathyergidae
Description: lncRNA (ENSHGLG00000039838.1)
Source: RNAcentral